Molecule: non-coding RNA, 3553 nt
Organism: Paramuricea clavata
Lineage: Eukaryota; Metazoa; Cnidaria; Anthozoa; Malacalcyonacea; Plexauridae
Source: the annotation of a GenBank genome assembly
CUUCAAAGCACUGACUAAGUACAAUAAAUCACUGUGAACAUAAAUCGUGUACACCCCCCGGAAAGUUUACUCUAUGACUGACUGACUGACUGACUGACUGACUGACUGACUGACUGACUGACUGACUGACAUAUUGACGUGCCCUAUUGUAACUUAGCGUGUGCCCUAGUGUAACCUAGCUGUGCCCUAGUGUAACCUAUCAAGUUACACUAGGGCAAUUGUGCCCUUGUGUAACUUAGUGUGUGCCCUAGUGUAACCUAGCUGUGCCCUAGUGUAACCUAGCUGUGCCCUAGUGUAACCUAGCUGUGCCCUAGUGUAACCUAGCUGUGCCCCAGUGUAACCUAGCUGUACCCUUGUGUAACCUAGCCGCUGGAAACAAAAUGGCAGGCCGAAAUUGUCAUUAUUCAGUGGAAUGAAAAUAAUAUAUUACAUGUUAGUGUCUAAUGUCUUUGUAUUUUCAACUAUUUUGCUUUAAUAAUCAUAUCAAAUACGAGUGUUUCUUGUAGCAAGGUGGUAAAUCGAUAAUAUAUUGAUUCAUUUGAGUAGAAAUGGAUUUGUUCCAUGGGAUAUAAAAUAUGGGAUUGAAUUGAAACCUCAUAGACCUUGAUCAUGACUCAAGGAGAUGUAAAACGAAAGAAUUUAUUAUAUUGGAAAGCUAUUUUCUAAGAAGUGAGUUCAUGGUAAGUAAACAAGAAGUUUGUUGCUUUUUCUAUGAUAUUUGUAAUUUGUCCUUGAAGGUGUACAACUGAGUUGAAGGUGGUGUUAAAACAGCAUAUUUGCUUUAUGCAUGAGCACUGUAUUUUACUGUAUUAAAAAGCAAAAUUAAUACUGUGUGUGUGUUGACAGUUGUAAAGAAUACUUCAAGUAUUAAUUAUGCCUGACUGGUAUUUUUAAUUUGCAUUUUCAUUCACCUGGUAAAUGUUUUUUAAUAAAAGCACUGAUGCAUUGUGCACUAGCUUGUGAUAAUGUUUCAGCUUUACCGGAUAAAAGAAGAGUGCAUCACCACAAGUUUCAUAUUCUGUCUCUGUCAAGUUUAUAUAUGAUCUAAUAUAAAUGUAGUUAAAAUCUUAUAAAUAAGGUGCUCAAUAUCGAAGCAGAGAGGAUUAGUAAGAAAAGACAAACUUUGUUUAUGAUGCUUGUGAUGUUACUCUAAGUGUAUAUCCACACCAGGCAGGCCUGAUAAAUAUGCCUGGCCACGGUGGGUGUCGAAGCUACGACCUUUGGAAUACCAAGCCCAAUGCUCUGGCAACUGAGCUACACGGUCAGGUCGGGUCCGAGUAUGUGAUAUUUCGGAACUGAGUCUAGUUCCUUCGAUAUCAGUGUAAUCUAAUAAUCAUGAUAUUUGCUGUGUUGUUGUAAUGUACUCAGGUGAAUAAGAUGUUUGUGUGAUGUUACUCUGAGUGUAUAUCCACACCGGGCAGGCUUGAAAAAUAUGCCUGUCCACGGUGGGAAUCGAACCUACCAGCUUUGGAAUACUAUAGCCCAAACUGAAAGCUCUGCCAACUGAGCUACAUGCAUGGUCAGGUCGUUUUGAGUACCAGUAUGUGAUAUUUCAGAACAGAAUCUAGCUCCUUUGAUACCAAUGUAAUCUAAUAAUCAUUUUUUCUGUUGGUGUAAUGUACGUCCUCAGGUGAAUAUGAUGUUACUCUGAGUGUAUAUCCACACCGGGCAGGCUUGAAAAAUAUGCCUGGCCACAGUGAGAAUCGAACCUACUGUAUGACCUUUGGAAUACUAGGUUCGAUUCCCACCGUAUGUUCUAUUCUCACCAUGGCCAGGCAUAAAGUAACAUCACAAGCAUCUUAUUCACCUGAGUACAUUACAACAACACAGCAAACUUUGUUUACUUCAUAAGAUUGAUUAGCACUACAAAUUUGUUUUGUAUGGGUAGGCUAUGCCGGCCACACACAUCAAGUGUGGUGGGCAUAGCCUACCAUACAAAACUAGUUUGUACUGUUAAUAAAUCUUAUGAAGUAAACAAAGUUUGUCUCUUCUUAUAUAUACUGUAUAUGGUACUGCCAUGUUAAUUAGAUAUGGGUAAAAAUUAAAUGAAUAGUUGACAAGUUUUAUAGAUGGAAUUGCAGAGUAGAUUUAUAUACAAUUAACUAGCAAGUCUGCCAACAAGUUGUGUUCACACUGCUUGUCCCAAGCUGUCAACAAGUUUGGAACAAACUGUUAACAACUUGUAACAAGCUUGUUGAUAUUAUAAUCAGACUUAUUGCAAGCUUGUCCCUCCAACAAGUCUGCUACAACUUGUAACAAGCUUGUUGAUAUUAUAAUCAGACUUAUUGCAAGCUUGUCCCUCCAACAAGUCUGCUACAACUUGUAACAAGCUUGUUGAUAUUAUAAUCAGACUUGUUGCAAGGUUGUUCCAACAAGUCCAAUACAGUCAUGAUACAACAAUAUUGUUACUAGCUUGUGUCAUCAAUCUCAUAACAUUCUUGCAUGUUAUAUCACGACUGUAACAAACUUCUUAGAACAAUUUUGUAACAAGUCUGACUAUAAAAUCUUGUUACAACAACUGGGAACAAGCAGUGCGAACACAAAACUUGUCGACGGCUUGCAAACAUGCAGACUUGUAACAACUUGUUUGAAAAUGCAACUACAGGUCCCUGACAGGAAUCAAACUUGUGGUCCUAUUCAUUCGAGUGAAAUGCAAAAAAAAUUCAUAUUUACCCAUACUUGUUUAAUGCAUUUAUUUAGCAUGUAUUAGACUGCAUUAGCAGCUAAUGCAAUGUAAGGCAGUCUAAUGCAGUCUGUAAAGUAGUCUAAUGCAGUCUGUAAAGUAGUCUAAUACAUGCUAAUGCAGUGUAAUUGUAAUCUAACGAUUCAGUGUAAUGAACUGCAGGGCAAUACUGCAGUCUUAUGAAGUGUAAUACAGUUUAAUGCAUGCUAAUGCAGUCUAAUACAUUGCAUUAUCUUUCAUUAGACUGCAUUAGCCUGCAAUUAGUAGGUGUUUUACUAUAGAUUUCUUAUGGCAGCCAGCAGUUUUGAAUUUUAAUAAGUUCAAUAAUUUUGAAACUGAUUUGAAUGAAAACAGCUGGCUACCAUGUAGAAUCUAUAGUAAAACACAUGGCUAUACCAUACCAGAGAUAUUAUUUACAUAAGGAAUAGCUUACUGUACACAGUUGCCAGUGUCCAGCUACUGUUUGGAAGUCGGAAAAAGGCAUGAAAAAAGGUGUCACCAUAUGCUUUGUUGGUAUGCAUAAAAAAGCAUGGUGGUGUACGGUUAUGUGUAUUCAGUUGUAUGAAAGUGCUUCAUCUGUCAUGCAAGAUGUUGCAUCUAUAACUUGUCUCUUUAAUAAAAUAUAAUGUUUGCUUUUCCGUUGCAGCUUCUAUAUAGACUGGAACACAAGUAGAUGAAACCAAAGUAAAGGCAGCGAUCACCAAGCUGUUAAAUACUGACAGAGCCAAGAAGGUUAACUGUGUAAACAUUGAGACUGAACAUUGGUUUUAAAUGGAUAAAAAGCUGUGUUUUUAUAUUUAUAAGCUUGUAUUUAUUUAUUGUAUAUCUGUGUUUAUUGUUCUGUUGAAAAUAUAAAUAACUGUAAUAUUG